RNAcentral lists this ribosomal RNA (450 nucleotides) under uncultured bacterium. Its description in RNAcentral is "bacterial SSU rRNA". It matches the Rfam family "Bacterial small subunit ribosomal RNA", at positions 346 to 793 of the family's 1533-position model. The record is from RNAcentral.
AGGCAGCAGUAAGGAAUAUUGGUCAAUGGACGCAAGUCUGAACCAGCCAUGCCGCGUGGAGGAUUAAGGCCCUCUGGGUUGUAAACUCCUUUUAUCUGGGAAGAAAUCCAUGUAUUCUUAUGUGGUUGACGGUACCAGAGGAAUAAGCACCGGCUAACUCCGUGCCAGCAGCCGCGGUAAUACGGAGGGUGCAAGCGUUAUCCGGAUUUACUGGGUUUAAAGGGUGCGUAGGCGGACAGGUAAGUCCGUGGUGAAAUCUCUGAGCUUAACUCAGAAACUGCCAUGGAUACUAUUUGUCUUGAAUACUGUGGAGGUAAGCGGAAUAUGUCAUGUAGCGGUGAAAUGCUUAGAUAUGACAUGGAACACCAAUUGCGAAGGCAGCUUACUACACAAAUAUUGACGCUGAGGCACGAAAGCGUGGGGAUCAAACAGGAUUAGAUACCCUGGUAG